GCCCACAUGAAGUCGGAGUUGCUAGUAAUCCCGAAUCAGAAUGUCGGGGUGAAUGCGUUCCCGGGUCUUGUACACACCGCCCGUCACGCCAUGGGAGUCGGGGGUACCCGAAGUCGGUGAGCUAACCGCAAGGAGGCAGCCGCCUAAGGUAAAACCGAUGACUGGGGUGAAGUCGUAACAAGGUACC
This 187-nucleotide ribosomal RNA is filed under the name uncultured bacterium. RNAcentral describes it as "partial 16S ribosomal RNA". It matches the Rfam family "Bacterial small subunit ribosomal RNA", at positions 1314 to 1500 of the family's 1533-position model. The record is from RNAcentral.